Molecule: non-coding RNA, 46 nt
Organism: Orchesella cincta
Lineage: Eukaryota; Metazoa; Arthropoda; Collembola; Entomobryomorpha; Orchesellidae
Source: Rfam
CCAUCGGCCUUUCUAAAGGCCACCAUAAUUUCCAAAGAGCCCCAAU